Small nucleolar RNA from Benincasa hispida (wax gourd), 103 nucleotides. The record is from RefSeq and is a predicted model, not a curated record. NCBI's taxonomy places the organism in Eukaryota, Viridiplantae, Streptophyta, Magnoliopsida, Cucurbitales, Cucurbitaceae.
AGUCUAUGGUUCGGGCAAUUUUUUACCAAUCCCUUAAAAUGCUCCCAUGCGACACUUAAGGUCUCAGCUUUUUUUGUUCAAAGUUCAUAAUCUCUCGACGCCU